GUGCGCAUGAUUGACAGGUCGUAUCAUACAGUGUGUACUCCUCUUUCUCUGAAACUCACCUUCGCUCUGCUAAUGGCCGCCUGAGGGGAGAGGGUCCGUCUGGGCCUCAUAGAUAGCGAAACUGUGUGUGCCUGUGUUUGUUUUCGUUUGGCUAUUUGUGUGUGCGGAGAGUUCGCCAGUGAAUUGGAGGGUUGGCUAGAGGCGAGAGCUCUUUCCACAUUAGGAGCGCAGGGGCAAUGGUGGACCAGAUGAAGGGACCAGGGAAUUUGGAGAGUGUUAAGAUUGUGAAACCAGAACAGAUGAUUGUUGUAACACUGUCCCAUUUCAUGCUUGCAGUAAACACCCAAGAAAAGGCAUUACUGGUGUUUGUCCUUAUUCGAGGUUGAUCCUUUGGUGCAUCCAGUGUUCCGCUACAGUGAGAGAGAAGAAGGGAGCAAGACAGAGCAUGUGAGAGUGAGAUAUGUCAUACCUGAUCCAGGGCUUGGAGUGGUAAAGAUAUUUGUGCAUGCAGAGGCUGGUGGUACUUUAAGAUGAAGAGAUUGUUCUCUGCUUUCUCCAGAUGAGCUGCUCCUCAUCUCUCUCUCAGUCUCUCUCUAUGUACGAGGAAAAACAUGGAGAUGAAAGGCAGCUGAAGUGUUUGAAAAAUGGACUUUGAAAUAGAAAAGGUCCUGAUUGGCCUGUGUAAGAGAUGAGAGAGUGGAUGAGAAAAGAAUAAGAUGCAAAAUGAGAAACAGAUGAGUAAUGCAGGAGAUGACUGGCCAACACCAGCCGUCCAUUAGAAACGGGCCGUUGUAUAGACUAUACUAAACAGAUGGAGAGGUGGAUAUGAAUUAAUCCAUUACUGAUAUCAUUUUGAGAGCCUUCCAUUUAAAUGUUUUCAUUGUGUGCUUUUGCUAAUAUCUCAGAGGGUGUACAAUACAGC
RNAcentral lists this long non-coding RNA (922 nucleotides) under Sinocyclocheilus anshuiensis. RNAcentral's name for it is "lncRNA (ENSSANG00000012597.1)". The record is from RNAcentral. Lineage: Eukaryota; Metazoa; Chordata; Actinopteri; Cypriniformes; Cyprinidae.